RNAcentral lists this ribosomal RNA (133 nucleotides) under uncultured bacterium. RNAcentral describes it as "partial 16S ribosomal RNA". The record is from RNAcentral.
ACAGAGUUAGCCGGUGCUUCUUCUGAUGGUACCGUCAUUAUCUUCCCAUCUGAAAGUGCUUUACAACCCGCAGGCCUUCUUCACACACGCGGCAUUGCUGGAUUAGGCUUUCGCCCAUUGUCCAAUAUUCCCC